Molecule: long non-coding RNA, 653 nt
Organism: Physeter macrocephalus (sperm whale)
Lineage: Eukaryota; Metazoa; Chordata; Mammalia; Artiodactyla; Physeteridae
Exons: 3
Source: RefSeq, a predicted model, not a curated record
GCACAAGAAGACUGGCUCUUUGCCAACGUACCUCCCAUUCAUAAGAGUGACUUCAGAGGUGCACUUUGUGGCUUUUCCAAGUCUUGCAUCAACAAUUUUAUUCUACUUUUUAGAAGAUGGCAGACAGUCCCCUCAUCAGCUUUCAAACGGACUUCCCUGGUGGUGCAGUGGCUAAGAAUCCGCCUGCCAAUGCAGGGGACCGUGUUCGAUCCCUGGUCCAGGAAGAUCCCACAUGCCAUGGAGCAACUAAGCCCGCGAGCCACAACUGCUGAGCCCAGGCGCCGCAACUACUGAAGCCCACAUGCCUAGAGCCCGUGCUCCGCAAAAAGAGAAGCCACCGCAAUGAGAAGCCCGUGCACCACAACAAAGAGUAGCCCCCUCUCGCCGCAACUAGAGAGAAAGCUCACGCGCAGCAACGAAGACCCAACGCAGCCAAAAAACACCAAAUGAAUUGGUAAUGAAUUUAAAUAUACUUUACUGAAUAAUAAAAACCCUUUCUCCAACCUUGCUGAGAAAAUUGGAAGCUGACUAAAGGAGAUUUAUAAACUUGAAACAAAUGUCACAUCUUAUCAAGGACAAGAGCCAGUUCAAACUUGACUACAUAUAUUUCCUGACUAUUCUGAAGCUGGGACAUUCUGGAUUUCUUAGCUGUC